UUCCUUGGUUUGAAGUCUUGAGGUGCGGUAUCCUCGAGCAGGUUGAAGUGUUGUAGAGUGUAUAUCUACGAGCAAGUGUAACGGUUUGUUAGGCACCCGUAAGCUUAACGAAGUUAGUGUAAAACUCGAGAGAGUCUCUCGGGGACUGGACUAACCACACGUUGUGGUGAACCAGGAUAAAAUUCGGUGUGUUCUCUCCUUA
Molecule: long non-coding RNA, 202 nt
Filed under: Nicotiana benthamiana
Lineage: Eukaryota; Viridiplantae; Streptophyta; Magnoliopsida; Solanales; Solanaceae
Description: long non-coding RNA (NBEN_LNC031962)
Source: RNAcentral